This 225-nucleotide non-coding RNA is filed under the name Methyloceanibacter caenitepidi. The record is from RNAcentral. Lineage: Bacteria; Pseudomonadati; Pseudomonadota; Alphaproteobacteria; Hyphomicrobiales; Hyphomicrobiaceae.
AAAAGUUCGCCCGCCUAUGGUGUCCGGGCGCGGAAACGCGGCCGGAUGAAACGGGAAUAGGUGGGGCCGUCCGCGGCCCGAAGCCUAGCCGCCCCCGCGACUGUAUGCGGUGAGCCGCCUUCCACCGAUGUCACUGGCCCAACUGUCACCCAAGGCAAGGGCUGGGAAGACGGAAGCCGGCCGCGACCCGCGAGCCAGGAGACCGGCCAUUCGGCAAACGGACCA